Molecule: ribosomal RNA, 443 nt
Filed under: uncultured bacterium
Lineage: Bacteria
Description: partial 16S ribosomal RNA
Rfam family: Bacterial small subunit ribosomal RNA
Source: RNAcentral
CCUACGGGAGGCAGCAGUGGGGAAUAUUGGGCAAUGGGCGCAAGCCUGACCCAGCAACGCCGCGUGAAGGAAGAAGGCUUUCGGGGUGGAAACUUCUUUUCUCAGGGACGAAGAAAGUGACGGUAACUGAGGAAUAAGCCACGGCUAACUACGUGCCAGCAGCCGCGGUAAUACGUAGGUGGCAAGCGUUAUCCGGAUUUAUUGGGUGUAAAGGGCGGGUAGGCGGGAGCGCAAGUCAGAUGUGAAAACUCAGGGCUCAACCCUGAGCCUGCAUUUGACACUUUGUUUCUUGAGUGCUGGAGAGGCAAUCGGAAUUCCGUGUGUAGCGGUGAAAUGCGUAGAUAUCCGGCGGAACCCCAGUGGCGACGGCGGCUUGCUGGACAGUAACUGACGCUGAUGCGCGAAAGCGUGGGUAGCAAACAGGAUUAGAUACCCUAGUAGUC